This is a long non-coding RNA of Acanthochromis polyacanthus (spiny chromis), 2429 nucleotides long. RefSeq lists it as uncharacterized. The transcript is spliced from 2 exons. The record is from RefSeq and is a predicted model, not a curated record. Lineage: Eukaryota; Metazoa; Chordata; Actinopteri; Pomacentridae.
CAGUUAAAGAAGGAAAAACCCACAAUUCUCACUGAAAUCACUUGAAACUCACAAAAGUAACAAUAAAUAAAAAUUUAUUGAAAAUUAAAUAAUCAAAAUCAGCCAUCACUUUUGAAUUGUUGAUGAACAUAAUUAUUUAAAAAAACAAACUAAUGAAAUAGGGCUGGACAAAAAUGAUGGUACCCAUAACUUAAUAUUUUGUUGCACAACCUUUUGAGGCAAUCACUGCAAUUAAACGAUUUCUGUAUUUGUCAAUGAGCGUUCUGCAGCUGUCAACAGGUAUUUUGGCCCACUCCUCAUGAGCAAACAGCUCCAGUUGUCUCAGGUUUGAUGGGUGUCUUCUCCAAAUGGCAUGUUUCAGCUCCUUCCACAUAUGUUCAAUGGGAUUCAGAUCUGGGCUCAUAGAAGGCCACUUUAGAAUAGUCCAACGCUUUUCUCUCAGCCAUUCUUGGGUGUUUUUGGCUGUGUGUUUUGGAUCGUUGUCCUGUUGGAAGACCCAUGACCUGCGACUGAGACCAAGCUUUCUGACACUAGGCAGCACAUUUCUCUCCAGAAUGCCUUGAUAGUCUUCAGAUUUCAUCGUACCUUGCACACUUUCAAGACACCCUGUGCCAGAUGCAGCAAAGCAGCCCCAAAACAUUACUGAGCCUCCUCCAUGUUUCACCGUAGGGACAGUGUUCUUUUCUUCGUAUGCUUGGUUUUUGAGUCUAUGAACAUAGAGUUGAUGUGCCUUACCAAAAAGCUCCAGUUUGGUCUCAUCUGUCCAAAGGACAUUCUCCCAGAAGCUUUGUGGCUUGUCAACAUGCAUUUUUGCAAAUUCCAGUCUGGCUUUUUUAUGAGUUUUUUUCAGCAGUGGUGUCCUCCUUGGUCGUCUCUCAUGAAGUCCACUUUGGCUCAAACAACGACGAAUGGUGCGAUCUGACACUGAUGUACCUUGGCCUUGGAGUUCACCUUUAAUUUCUUUGGAGGUUGCUCUGGGCUCUUUGGAUACAAUUCCAACGAUCCGUCUCUUCAAUUUGUCAUCAAUUUUCCUCUUGCGGCCACGUCCAGGGAGGUUGGCUACUGUCCCGUGGGUCUUGAACUUCUGAAUAAUAUGAGCCACUGUUGUCACAGGAACUUCAAGCUGUUUAGAGAUGGUCUUAUAGCCUUUACCUUUAAGAUGUUUGUCUAUCAUUUUUUUUCGGAUGUCCUGGGACAAUUCUCUCCUUCGCUUUCUGUUGUCCAUGUUCAGUGUGGUACACACCUUUUCACCAAACAGCAGGGUGACUACUUGUCUCCCUUUAAAUAGGCAGACUGACUGAUUAUGAGUUUGGAAACACCUGUGAUGUCAAUUAAAUGACACACCUGAGUUAAUCAUGUCACUCUGGUCAAAUAGUUUUCAAUCUUUUAUAGAGGUACCAUCAUUUUUGUCCAGGCCUGUUUCAUUAGUUUGUUUUUUUAAAUAAUUAUGUUAAUCAACAAUUCAAAAGUAAUGGCUGUUUUUGAUUAUUUAAUUUUCAAUAAAUUUUUAUUUAUUGUUACUUUUGUGAGUUUCAAGUGAUUUCAGUGAGAAUUGUGGGUUUUUCCUUCUUUAACUGAGGGGUACCAACAAUUUUGUCCACGUGUGUACAUUUGUGACUUUACGUCAUGAAUUUACAUGUGUUUUCAAUGACUGAGCUGGUUAUUUUUCCAUUUACCAAGAAUGUGAUCUGCAUGUUCCUUCACCAAAAUAAGUUCUCAUAAUAAAAUAAUUACAUUGAUGCGUUUUAAGAUGCUCCUAGAAAAAAAUCCCAUGGCCAGCUGAGGACAGUGAUGAUGAAGACUUUGACAUGGAGUCCACGUGCCGCAUCACUGGCUUUCUAAGGACGUUAAUUGAAACGGCUUCAUCAGGCACUGGCCCAGCUGCUGACAUUCUGGGUUUGCUGGGAGAUGCUUCCUCCUGAACUGAAAGUGGAGAUCUCUGGGGAGCCCUUCCUACGUCCUCCACAUGCUUUGAAACACUAAAGCUGCCAGCUCAUUUCAAAACCUACGUGGACUUCAAGGAAGCGCUUGUCUCUGCCAUAAGUGGUGCACAGACUGGAUUUGGACUUGUUUAAGUUUUCAGACAGAUGUCACUGAAUGCUGUUCAGUAGGUCAGGUUCAGGGUCUUUGAAAACAUUGAACAUACUGUACAGUAGUUGACAAUGGUUUCAUUUUUCAUAUACAUAUUUUUUUUUCCAGUUACUGAAACAAAGCAGUUGUGCAUCUUCAGCUUUCAGUGUUAGAACAGCAUUCAUGUUGUUCAUUCUGGGCCAAUAAUGAGACAGGAAGAAAAGGAGUGGAGCUGUGCAUAAAGUGCAUUUACAGUAUCUUAAUGAUUAUGGCAGAGCCUUUUUUUUUUCCUAAGGAAAGCAAACUUUUUCAGUUUAUGCUUGCAUGUUCUAAGAUGCUAAAUAAAAGCAUGAGUUGGA